RNAcentral lists this ribosomal RNA (403 nucleotides) under uncultured bacterium. Its description in RNAcentral is "bacterial SSU rRNA". It matches the Rfam family "Bacterial small subunit ribosomal RNA", at positions 355 to 774 of the family's 1533-position model. The record is from RNAcentral.
UGGGGAAUAUUGCACAAUGGGCGAAAGCCUGAUGCAGCAACGCCGCGUGAGCGAUGAAGGCCUUUGGGUCGUAAAGCUCUGUCCUAGGGGAAGAAUAAAUGACGGUACCCUUGGAGGAAGCCCCGGCUAACUACGUGCCAGCAGCCGCGGUAAUACGUAGGGGGCAAGCGUUAUCCGGAAUUAUUGGGCGUAAAGAGUGCGUAGGUGGUUUUGUAAGCGCGGGGUGAAAGGCAAUAGCUCAACUAUUGUAAGCCCUGCGAACUGUGAGACUUGAGUGCAGGAGAGGAAAGCGGAAUUCCUAGUGUAGCGGUGAAAUGCGUAGAUAUUAGGAGGAACACCAGUGGCGAAGGCGGCUUUCUGGACUGUAACUGACACUGAGGCACGAAAGCGUGGGGAGCAAACA